UCCAGAUUAUAUCUGACUUCAUAAGAAAAGUGGACUCGAUGCCACUGAAUAUGCCAGUGAGAUGCAAUUGAUUGCAGGGUAUUUGGUAGUCAGUAAUGUGAAUAUGCAUGAAGGUGCCCGCUGAGUUGUUAAUAUCUCAAUCCGUGCAAUUUUGCAAACCAAGUUUAACACCAAGGUCAACAAGUUUCUUUCUUUCUUUGUCGUUUGUAUAUUCUGAGUUUUACAUGUGAAGAGAUAUGGUCAGCUCAUCCUUUUUUCAUUGUACUAUAUUUGGUUGAUGAUUUGACGUUUCACAGGUGAAAAUUACGAACUUGAAUGUGUUUUCAGCAAUUAACAGGAAACUUAACUAGGAGAUCCAGACAAUCACUUCUCUAUAACCAGGGCCAAGUCGACCAGAUCUUGGGAAGAAGAAACUCAGCCAUUUCUUCCAGAAGUAAUACUCGCCCAAGUAUAGCAUCCGAGCUUCUUUACUGGAGCUUCCUGAAGAAAAGGGCAGGACGUACGAGGCCAUGGGUGUAGGCACUUAACAUGUAUUCUUCCUCGCAAAUGAUGCCAAUUUAUUGGCAAGGGUGCUGAAUUAAAGUUCCCGACAAAUUUGCUAAUGAGUGAUAUCGUUGCUUUCUUUAACAAUGAGAACUUUUCAGUCAAUGGUGUUUACCUUGCUUCUAAAGAUUGAUAUCAUCUUUUUUGUUUUGGAUCAUUGCUAUUUUUUUUUCCAGAUAUUAUUUGAGCUCUUGGUUAAAGGUGAAACUGCCCAAGGAAUGAUAAAAGCAAAAGACUUGGUUUAGGCAAAGUAUAUGCUAUUCAGAGAAAAGUUUACUCUGACCCAUUUUGAAGGUUCAUCGAGAAUAUACUUCAGGCUUACCCUACUUUAAUAGGUUUUUUUGUCUGUAUGUUUCUGAUAAUCGAUCAUGUCGAAAUAAAAAAAAUGGUUA
Long non-coding RNA from Brassica napus (rape), 935 nucleotides. RefSeq lists it as uncharacterized. The transcript is spliced from 3 exons. Lineage: Eukaryota; Viridiplantae; Streptophyta; Magnoliopsida; Brassicales; Brassicaceae. The record is from RefSeq and is a predicted model, not a curated record.